ACAUUAUUUCAUUGAAUCCAAAGCAUAUUUUCAUCCAAACACCAUUUCAUUCAUACAAAUGUCAUAUUACAAAUGUCCACACAAAGAAAUUACAAAAAAAUGAUUUUUGGCCUACAAUUAACGUUUUGGUCAACUGUUGACGUUUUGGUCAACCAGUUGACCGAAGUCAACUCAUAUAAAUCCAUAAUCCUAAUUCUAAUUUCCUAUGAUAUCUUCACUAUUUGAUGUGUUCAUUUGAUUUCCCAUCCAAAGCUUGCUUCAUAUGCAAGUAAGCCAUGUUUUUGCCUUUUCUUCCUUGAACCAUGUCUCAUGUCAAGUCUUGAAUCAUGACCAAAGUGCCAAGCAACAUCAGCCAUGCAGCAUACCACCUACAGUGCAUCACAUAAUUAGCUUCAUUUAACCAAGUCCAUUUGUUUCCAACUAAGGCACAAACAGGUCAUACACCUUUGCAUCAUAUUUCAUCAAUGCAUAUCACCAACAUAGCAAUAGGCCAAGCAUUAGUAACUAGAAGCUCAUUCAAAACAAGCAUAUAUAACAUUGCAAGCAUGACAUUCAC
This 556-nucleotide long non-coding RNA is filed under the name Lathyrus oleraceus (garden pea). RNAcentral's name for it is "Pisum sativum (pea) long non-coding RNA (PSAT_LNC013885)". The record is from RNAcentral. Lineage: Eukaryota; Viridiplantae; Streptophyta; Magnoliopsida; Fabales; Fabaceae.